CUGAGAGAGUCUUUCCUUUCUCCCCUUCCCUGUGAGCUAUGGGAAUGUAUGCAUGGUGGUUUCCCUAGGACAGAAGAUGUCCCAUCCUCUUACCCUCCCAGAGAGUCAUCUCUUCUGACAAAGAAUUAAAAAAAGGAAAAAAAAAUAGUUGUCAAAACUAUCCAGAGAGCUUCCCAUCUCUACAAAGAAGAUGAUGAACAUGCAAGAGACUUAAGAACUCCAGUCCAGGCCCUGCAACCCUGCCCCUUCCAUUAGCUGUGGGUCCCCACCUAUAAUUACCUGGUUCCUGAGGAAUGCUGUUUUACCUGGUUUAAUAAUGGUUCCACCUAACAGGAGAGAGGUCAAAAAUUUUGCUGUGUGCUGCUUUUGGGAAAAACAAAUGAACUCACCACUCAAGAUGGGAGUGUGG
Phascolarctos cinereus (koala) is the source of this 409-nucleotide non-coding RNA. The record is from RefSeq and is a predicted model, not a curated record. NCBI's taxonomy places the organism in Eukaryota, Metazoa, Chordata, Mammalia, Diprotodontia, Phascolarctidae.